GGUUGGUAUGUGGCAUGGAGGACGGUGCUGGUGCACGUCCCGCUCGUGCAGGAGGUCGCCGGCCUGCGCCCGAAGAAGAAGCCCGCCAAGCCCAAGCCCCCCAACCGCGGUCGCAUCGGCAGGUUCUAUCAGUCGCAAGCACAAGCACAGAGGUGA
This 156-nucleotide ribosomal RNA is filed under the name Triticum aestivum (bread wheat). RNAcentral describes it as "partial small subunit ribosomal RNA". Lineage: Eukaryota; Viridiplantae; Streptophyta; Magnoliopsida; Poales; Poaceae. The record is from RNAcentral.